Long non-coding RNA from Scylla paramamosain (green mud crab), 1296 nucleotides. RefSeq lists it as uncharacterized. The record is from RefSeq and is a predicted model, not a curated record. The transcript is spliced from 2 exons. Lineage: Eukaryota; Metazoa; Arthropoda; Malacostraca; Decapoda; Portunidae.
CCAUGCAGGUGGGGGCCUCCAGAUGAGACAACACACACUGCUGUGGAGUUGGUCAUGCUGUGGAUGUUGCCUCACAGCAUUUGCAGGACUGCCAUACCCUGAAAGUGAUGGCGCCACACUGCAUAAGUAAACUAACAAAGAAGUGUCAGGGCCUCUAGAAGGACCACAGCCGUAGUAGUAGACCACAACCAGCAGUAGUGUUGGAGCCAUCCAACCCUCUUCUGCUGGUGUUGCUGGGUCCACAGGGGUCUCUGGAUUUGACAAUGCUGUAUCAUCUGCACUGAAUAAGAACAUCUUUGUUCAAAUUAUCCACGUUAUAGAUGACUACAUGCAAUGGUGAAUAACAUGUUAACAUGUAUUCAGUUGUGUCCUCCAGUACAAUGAACACUGAUUAUACAUAUACAACUCCUGCCACUAAGUCUGUUGUUCUUGCUAUUUUGACCUUUUUUUUUUAAUUAAUUAAUUUUUUUUUUUUGAGGAAUACAUCUCUGAGGAAUAUAAAGUGUUGAUUCCAUAAGUGCAUCACACCACCAGCCUGGGUACUGUAUAGCAGAAAGGUCCAAGGAGCAAAUGAGGUAAAAGGACACAGCAUGACAUGUAACUUAAAAUACCACUUAAUUUGUAACUUGUGGUGUAAAGUCAUGUUUGCUUCUGAACUGUACUGCAGGUGGCCACUCAGACUCACUCAGAAGUUCUCUCUCAAGCACAGGAAACCCAACAGCAGAUUAGUCUGAGCUUGGACGAGCUGGUGAUGGUGCAGCUGGCUGUACAAAACAUGUCCCAGGCACUUUGACAAUCUGUUGAAGUGCAGAGGAACAUUGUGCAUUCACUGCAGCAGCUGGUAACACUUACUGAGCACUUCAUUAAUGCCAACACCACCCACCAAUAAUUUAUAGCAUUUUAAUGUUUACCUUUAUUAAGUUUACCUUUAUUAAGUUAUUAAGUUAUAACACUAAGUUAUGAAAUUAAGUUAUAUUAAGUUAUAUUUCUUUUCUGUAGAAUUAGUUAUAGCAAUUCUAUCAUUAACCUCGAGCAGCAUGUUAAUGUUAGUGCAAUAUAAUACCAAACUUCACUGUGAUACCUACAAUGCUUCUGUGUUACUUAAAGUACAAAAAUAAGAUUAGUGUUUUGUGGUGACCUGCUGGUGGCCAUUUCUACAAAUAUGUUUAUUUACUUUUUUUUUUUUUUUCAGGAUGUGAACUAUACUCAUAUAUGUUAUAUUUUUCUUAUUCUUGCAAAGACUUUGGUAACUGGUAAUAUUAUUUUAUUUUUAAAUAAAUCUACAGCAUUUUUUUU